GUUCUUGUAGUUGAAUAACAACGGUGGUUUUUCAAGUCACAGGUCUAAGUUAGACUCUUAGUGAGAAUA
Molecule: non-coding RNA, 69 nt
Organism: Poecilia reticulata (guppy)
Lineage: Eukaryota; Metazoa; Chordata; Actinopteri; Cyprinodontiformes; Poeciliidae
Source: Ensembl